CAAUAAGCGGAGGAAAAGAAACUAACAAGGAUUCCCCUAGUAACUGCGAGUGAAGCGGGAAAAGCUCAAAUUUAAAAUCUGGCAGUCUAUGGCUGUCCGAGUUGUAAUCUAGAGAAGUGAUGCCCGCGCUGGACCGUGUACAAGUCUCCUGGAAUGGAGCGUCAUAGAGGGUGAGAAUCCCGUCUCUGACACGGACUACCAGGGCUUUGUGGUAUGCUCUCAAAGAGUCGAGUUGUUUGGGAAUGCAGCUCUAAAUGGGUGGUAAAUUCCAUCUAAAGCUAAAUAUUGGCGAGAGACCGAUAGCGAACAAGUACCGUGAGGGAAAGAUGAAAAGAACUUUGGAAAGAGAGUUAAACAGUACGUGAAAUUGCUGAAAGGGAAACGCUUGAAGUCAGUCGCGUUAGCUGGGAAUCAGCCUUGCUUGUUGCUUGGUGUACUUUCUGGUUGACGGGUCAGCAUCAAUUUUGACUGCUGGAAAAAGGCCUUGGGAAUGUGGCAGCUUUGGCUGUGUUAUAGCCCUUGGUCACAUACAGCAGUUGGGAUUGAGGAACUCAGCACGCCGCAAGGCCGGGUUUCGACCACGUUCGUGCUUAGGAUGCUGGCAUAAUGGCUUUAAGCGACCCGUCUUGAAACACGGACCAAGGAGUCUAACAUGCCUGCGAGUGUUUGGGUGGUAAACCCUUGCGCGUAAUGAAAGUGAAAGUUGAGAUCCCUGUCGUGGGGAGCAUCGACGCCCGGACUUGAACUUUUGUGACGGAUCCGCGGUAGAGCAUGUAUGUUGGGACCCGAAAGAUGGUGAACUAUGCCUGAAUAGGGUGAAGCCAGAGGAAACUCUGGUGGAGGCUCGUAGCGAUUCUGACGUGCAAAUCGAUCGUCAAAUUUGGGUAUAGGGGCGA
RNAcentral lists this ribosomal RNA (896 nucleotides) under uncultured Morganella. Its description in RNAcentral is "partial 18S ribosomal RNA". It matches the Rfam family "Eukaryotic large subunit ribosomal RNA", at positions 44 to 926 of the family's 3401-position model. Lineage: Eukaryota; Fungi; Basidiomycota; Agaricomycetes; Agaricales; Lycoperdaceae. The record is from RNAcentral.